This 465-nucleotide ribosomal RNA is filed under the name uncultured bacterium. RNAcentral describes it as "partial 16S ribosomal RNA". It matches the Rfam family "Bacterial small subunit ribosomal RNA", at positions 28 to 507 of the family's 1533-position model. The record is from RNAcentral.
GACGAACGCUGGCGGCGUGCUUAACACAUGCAAGUCGAACGGAAAGGCCCUGCUUGCAGGGUACUCGAGUGGCGAACGGGUGAGUAACACGUGGGUGAUCUGCCCUGCACUUCGGGAUAAGCCUGGGAAACUGGGUCUAAUACCGGAUAGGAGCCAUUUUUAGUGUGAUGGUUGGAAAGUUUUUUCGGUGUAGGAUGAGCUCGCGGCCUAUCAGCUUGUUGGUGGGGUAAUGGCCUACCAAGGCGGCGACGGGUAGCCGGCCUGAGGGGGUGGACGGCCACCUUGGCUCUGAGAGACGGCCCGGACGCCCACGGGACGGAGCAGUGGGGAAGAUUGUACAAUGGGCCCAAGCCUGAUGCAGCGACGCCGCGUGGGGGAGGACGGACUUCGGGUUGUAAACUCCUUUCGCUAGGGACGAAGCUUUGUGUGACGGUACCUAGACAAGAAGCACCGGCCAACUACGUG